This 21-nucleotide non-coding RNA is filed under the name Caenorhabditis elegans. Lineage: Eukaryota; Metazoa; Nematoda; Chromadorea; Rhabditida; Rhabditidae. The record is from RNAcentral.
UUUUAUUGCCAAAAUUCCUGU